This 444-nucleotide ribosomal RNA is filed under the name uncultured prokaryote. Its description in RNAcentral is "bacterial SSU rRNA". It matches the Rfam family "Bacterial small subunit ribosomal RNA", at positions 338 to 774 of the family's 1533-position model. The record is from RNAcentral.
CCUACGCGAGGCAGCAGUAGGGAAUAUUGGACAAUGGGCGAAAGCCUGAUCCAGCCAUGCCGCGUGAGUGAUGAAGGCCUUCGGGUCGUAAAACUCUUUUCUGAGGGAAGAACCAUUUGCGUAGGAAAUGACGCAGAUCUGACGGUACCUCAGGAAUAAGCAACGGCUAACUCCGUGCCAGCAGCCGCGGUAAUACGGAGGUUGCGAGCGUUGUUCGGAAUAACUGGGCGUAAAGGGAGCGCAGGCGGCCUGACAAGUCUAAGGGGAAAGCCCGGGGCUUAACCUCGGAAGUGCUUUGGAUACUAUCAGGCUCGAGUUCGGGAGAGGAAAGCGGAAUUCCAGGUGUAGCGGUGAAAUGCGUAGAUAUCUGGAGGAACACCGGUGGCGAAAGCGGCUUUCUGGCACGAUACUGACGCUGAGGCUCGAAAGCAUGGGGAGCGAACA